GGGUUGUGAGGUUAAGCGACUAAGCGUACACGGUGGAUGCCCUGGCAGUCAGAGGCGAUGAAGGACGUGCUAAUCUGCGAUAAGCGUCGGUAAGGUGAUAUGAACCGUUAUAACCGGCGAUUUCCGAAUGGGGAAACCCAGUGUGAUUCGUCACACUAUCAUUAACUGAAUCCAUAGGUUAAUGAGGCGAACCGGGGGAACUGAAACAUCUAAGUACCCCGAGGAAAAGAAAUCAACCGAGAUUCCCCCAGUAGCGGCGAGCGAACGGGGAGCAGCCCAGAGCCUGAAUCAGUGUGUGUGUUAGUGGAAGCGUCUGGAAAGGCGCGCGAUACAGGGUGACAGCCCCGUACACAAAAAUGCACAUGCUGUGAGCUCGAUGAGUAGGGCGGGACACGUGGUAUCCUGUCUGAAUAUGGGGGGACCAUCCUCCAAGGCUAAAUACUCCUGACUGACCGAUAGUGAACCAGUACCGUGAGGGAAAGGCGAAAAGAACCCCGGCGAGGGGAGUGAAAAAGAACCUGAAACCGUGUACGUACAAGCAGUGGGAGCACGCUUAGGCGUGUGACUGCGUACCUUUUGUAUAAUGGGUCAGCGACUUAUAUUCUGUAGCAAGGUUAACCGAAUAGGGGAGCCGAAGGGAAACCGAGUCUUAACUGGGCGUUAAGUUGCAGGGUAUAGACCCGAAACCCGGUGAUCUAGCCAUGGGCAGGUUGAAGGUUGGGUAACACUAACUGGAGGACCGAACCGACUAAUGUUGAAAAAUUAGCGGAUGACUUGUGGCUGGGGGUGAAAGGCCAAUCAAACCGGGAGAUAGCUGGUUCUCCCCGAAAGCUAUUUAGGUAGCGCCUCGUGAAUUCAUCUCCGGGGGUAGAGCACUGUUUCGGCAAGGGGGUCAUCCCGACUUACCAACCCGAUGCAAACUGCGAAUACCGGAGAAUGUUAUCACGGGAGACACACGGCGGGUGCUAACGUCCGUCGUGAAGAGGGAAACAACCCAGACCGCCAGCUAAGGUCCCAAAGUCAUGGUUAAGUGGGAAACGAUGUGGGAAGGCCCAGACAGCCAGGAUGUUGGCUUAGAAGCAGCCAUCAUUUAAAGAAAGCGUAAUAGCUCACUGGUCGAGUCGGCCUGCGCGGAAGAUGUAACGGGGCUAAACCAUGCACCGAAGCUGCGGCAGCGACACUAUGUGUUGUUGGGUAGGGGAGCGUUCUGUAAGCCUGUGAAGGUGUACUGUGAGGUAUGCUGGAGGUAUCAGAAGUGCGAAUGCUGACAUAAGUAACGAUAAAGCGGGUGAAAAGCCCGCUCGCCGGAAGACCAAGGGUUCCUGUCCAACGUUAAUCGGGGCAGGGUGAGUCGACCCCUAAGGCGAGGCCGAAAGGCGUAGUCGAUGGGAAACAGGUUAAUAUUCCUGUACUUGGUGUUACUGCGAAGGGGGGACGGAGAAGGCUAUGUUGGCCGGGCGACGGUUGUCCCGGUUUAAGCGUGUAGGCUGGUUUUCCAGGCAAAUCCGGAAAAUCAAGGCUGAGGCGUGAUGACGAGGCACUACGGUGCUGAAGCAACAAAUGCCCUGCUUCCAGGAAAAGCCUCUAAGCAUCAGGUAACAUCAAAUCGUACCCCAAACCGACACAGGUGGUCAGGUAGAGAAUACCAAGGCGCUUGAGAGAACUCGGGUGAAGGAACUAGGCAAAAUGGUGCCGUAACUUCGGGAGAAGGCACGCUGAUAUGUAGGUGAAGUCCCUCGCGGAUGGAGCUGAAAUCAGUCGAAGAUACCAGCUGGCUGCAACUGUUUAUUAAAAACACAGCACUGUGCAAACACGAAAGUGGACGUAUACGGUGUGACGCCUGCCCGGUGCCGGAAGGUUAAUUGAUGGGGU
This 1872-nucleotide ribosomal RNA is filed under the name Escherichia coli. RNAcentral describes it as "partial 23S ribosomal RNA". It matches the Rfam family "Bacterial large subunit ribosomal RNA", at positions 1 to 1890 of the family's 2925-position model. The record is from RNAcentral. Lineage: Bacteria; Pseudomonadati; Pseudomonadota; Gammaproteobacteria; Enterobacterales; Enterobacteriaceae.